RNAcentral lists this ribosomal RNA (760 nucleotides) under uncultured bacterium. RNAcentral describes it as "bacterial SSU rRNA". It matches the Rfam family "Bacterial small subunit ribosomal RNA", at positions 56 to 861 of the family's 1533-position model. The record is from RNAcentral.
UGCAGUCGUACGAGAGUUUUUAACUCUAGUGGCGGACGGGUGAGUAACACGUGAGAAUUUGCCUUUAGGAGGGGGACAACAAUCGGAAACGAAUGCUAAUACCCCAUAUGCUUUCGAGUGAAAUGGAUUUUAUCCGCCUAGAGAGAAGCUCGCGGCUGAUUAGCUUGUUGGUAAGGUAAGAGCUUACCAAGGCGACGAUCAGUAUCUGGUUUGAGAGGACGAUCAGACACACUGGAACUGAGACACGGUCCAGACUCCUACGGGAGGCAGCAGUGGGGAAUUUUCCGCAAUGGGCGAAAGCCUGACGGAGCAAUACCGCGUGAGGGAAGAAUGCCUAUGGGUUGUAAACCUCUUUUUUCAGGGAGGAAUCAAAUGACGUGUACCUGAAGAAUAAGCAUCGGCUAACUCCGUGCCAGCAGCCGCGGUAAGACGGAGGAUGCAAGUGUUAUCCGGAAUCACUGGGCGUAAAGCGUCUGUAGGUGGUUUAAUAAGUCAACUGUUAAAUCUUGAUGGCUCAACUUCAAAAUCGCAGUCGAAACUAUUAGACUAGAGUAUAGUAGAGGUAAAGGGAAUUUCCAGUGGAGCGGUGAAAUGCGUAGAUAUUGGAAAGAACACCGAUGGCGAAAGCACUUUACUGGGCUAUUACUAACACUCAGAGACGAAAGCUAGGGUAGCAAAUGGGAUUAGAUACCCAGUAGUCUAGCUGUAAACAUGGAUCUAGAUGUUGACAGAUCGACUGUGCAGUAUCAAGCUACGCGUU